This 202-nucleotide microRNA precursor is filed under the name Oryza barthii. Its description in RNAcentral is "MIR812 microRNA precursor family". It matches the Rfam family "MIR812 microRNA precursor family". The record is from Rfam by way of RNAcentral. Lineage: Eukaryota; Viridiplantae; Streptophyta; Magnoliopsida; Poales; Poaceae.
UAUAAGGGAUUUUGAGUUUUUACUUGUAACGUUUGACUGCUCGUCUUAUUUAAAAAUUUUUGAAAUUAUUAUUUAUUUUAUUUGUGACUUACUUUAUUAUCCACGGUACUUUAAGUACAACUUUUCGUUUUUUAUAUUUGCACAAAAAAUUAAAUAAGACGAGCAGUCAAACGUUGCAAACAAAAAAUCAAAAUCCCUUAUA